AGUGAACGCUGGCGGCAGGCCUAACACAUGCAAGUCGAACGGUAGCACAGUACGAGCUGGCGCUUACGGGAGGCGAGUCGCACAGGGGUGAGGAAUACAUCGGGCUGUAUUUUUUCGUGGGGUAUAACGUAGAGACACUUGCGCUAACACCGCAUACUCCCAACGGCAGAAAGCAGGGGCUUUUCGCACCUUGCGCGCUUAAGUGAGCCGAUGUCGGAUUAGCUAGUUGGCGGGGUAAAGGCCCACCAAGGCGACGAUCCGUAGCUGGUCUGAGAGGAUGAUCAGCCACACUGGAACUGAGACACGGUCCAGACUCCUACGGGAGGCAGCAGUGGGGAAUAUUGGACAAUGGGCGCAAGCCUGAUCCAGCCAUACCGCGUGUAUGAAGAAGGCCUUCGGGUUGUAAAGCCCUUUUGUCGGGAAAGAAAAGCAGCAAGUUAAUACCCCUCUGUACUGACGGUACCCAAAGAAUAAGCACCGGCUAACUUCGUG
RNAcentral lists this ribosomal RNA (492 nucleotides) under uncultured bacterium. Its description in RNAcentral is "partial 16S ribosomal RNA". It matches the Rfam family "Bacterial small subunit ribosomal RNA", at positions 29 to 507 of the family's 1533-position model. The record is from RNAcentral.